This 71-nucleotide transfer RNA is filed under the name Marmota monax (woodchuck). Its description in RNAcentral is "tRNA.Ala". It matches the Rfam family "tRNA". From Rfam's summary of the family: Transfer RNA (tRNA) molecules are approximately 80 nucleotides in length. Their secondary structure includes four short double-helical elements and three loops (D, anti-codon, and T loops). The record is from RNAcentral. Lineage: Eukaryota; Metazoa; Chordata; Mammalia; Rodentia; Sciuridae.
GGGGUUGUGGCUCAGCAGUAGAGCGUUCGCCUAGCACGUGCAGGGCCCUGAGUUCAAUCCUCAGCACCACA